CACAUGCAAGUCGAACGAUGAACCACUUCGGUGGGGAUUAGUGGCGAACGGGUGAGUAACACGUGGGCAAUCUGCCCUGCACUCUGGGACAAGCCCUGGAAACGGGGUCUAAUACCGGAUACUGAUCCUCGCAGGCAUCUGCGAGGUUCGAAAGCUCCGGCGGUGCAGGAUGAGCCCGCGGCCUAUCAGCUAGUUGGUGAGGUAACGGCUCACCAAGGCGACGACGGGUAGCCGGCCUGAGAGGGCGACCGGCCACACUGGGACUGAGACACGGCCCAGACUCCUACGGGAGGCAGCAGUGGGGAAUAUUGCACAAUGGGCGAAAGCCUGAUGCAGCGACGCCGCGUGAGGGAUGACGGCCUUCGGGUUGUAAACCUCUUUCAGCAGGGAAGAAGCGAAAGUGACGGUACCUGCAGAAGAAGCGCCGGCUAACUACGUGCCAGCAGCCGCGGUAAUACGUAGGGCGCAAGCGUUGUCCGGAAUUAUUGGGCGUAAAGAGCUCGUAGGCGGCUUGUCACGUCGGUUGUGAAAGCCCGGGGCUUAACCCCGGGUCUGCAGUCGAUACGGGCAGGCUAGAGUUCGGUAGGGGAGAUCGGAAUUCCUGGUGUAGCGGUGAAAUGCGCAGAUAUCAGGAGGAACACCGGUGGCGAAGGCGGAUCUCUGGGCCGAUACUGACGCUGAGGAGCGAAAGCGUGGGGAGCGAACAGGAUUAGAUACCCUGGUAGUCCACGCCGUAAACGGUGGGCACUAGGUGUGGGCAACAUUCCACGUUGUCCGUGCCGCAGCUAACGCAUUAAGUGCCCCGCCUGGGGAGUACGGGCCGCAAGGCUAAAACUCAAAGGAAUUGACAGGGGCCCGCACAAGCGGCGGAGCAUGUGGCUUAAUUCGACGCAACGCGAAGAACCUUACCUAUGCUGACAUACAUCGGAGACCCUGAGACAGGGUCCCCAUGUGUCGUGUACAGUGUGCAUGCUGUCGUCAGCUCGUGUCGUGAGAUGUUGGGUAGUCCCGCACGAGCGCACCCUUGUCCC
RNAcentral lists this ribosomal RNA (1031 nucleotides) under Streptomyces sp. 6G15. Its description in RNAcentral is "bacterial SSU rRNA". It matches the Rfam family "Bacterial small subunit ribosomal RNA", at positions 52 to 1110 of the family's 1533-position model. The record is from RNAcentral. Lineage: Bacteria; Bacillati; Actinomycetota; Actinomycetes; Kitasatosporales; Streptomycetaceae.